RNAcentral lists this long non-coding RNA (27025 nucleotides) under Theobroma cacao (cacao). Its description in RNAcentral is "long non-coding RNA (TCAC_LNC002188)". The record is from RNAcentral. Lineage: Eukaryota; Viridiplantae; Streptophyta; Magnoliopsida; Malvales; Malvaceae.
ACAAGUUAAGCUGUUCUGAAGAAAGAUUCAUUGCACUGUUAGAUUCAUUGUAUCACAUAAAGUACAAGGUUCAUUGCAUUGUGGUUGGAAAGUCACUAUCAGUGUCAGACAAUCAGAGUUUUGCUCUGAUGCAGCAGUAUCAUACUCACUUCUCCACUCCUCAAUACAGGCAGCCCUCUAUUGAUUUGUUCUGCUAAUGCAUCUAAUAGAAAUUACCAAAUGCUAUGAACUAGCAGACUCAGUUUUUGUUUCUAAGCAGAUAGAAAUUAACCAGCCAUGCCCCUCAAGAGAUCAAUAAGUAGUGCUAUAUCAUAUAUGGGUUGACUACAAAAACUGACUGUGUAGUCUGUCCAAUCCACUCAAGGAGUUCCUUUUUAUUUUAUUUUUCUUAUCAACAAGGCUAAAAAGGAUAUUUCAUAAGAUUCUUAUACUUAAAUGUUGUGUCAAAGUACAUUAUUGGAGCGUAUGACUUUCAGAAUGAUUAAUAUUUUCCUUCCUUAACUAUGCACCCAAAAUAAAUAAUUGCAUAAUUCAGCUCUGUGUUGCCUUUUCGUUUACUUUCUCUUCAACAAGAGUUCAUAGAGUACUAGUGUUCUAAUAUAGGACCCUUCUCCCAACCUAACACAAUCCGUCCAAGUUGAGGCCAGAUUUUAAGUAGAAGUUUCAUAGUAUGGCAAAUAAAGCUUUUUUUUCUUUUGUGUGUGUCUGUGUGUUAUGAACUCUGUUUUUAAGGUAUCCAACAGUGAACCAGUCAAAGCAUACACUGAAAAUAAAAUACCCAAAAAAAAAAUAAAAUGAAUUUCUCAAAAUUACCCAAAAUUACUCACAGCUUCUUUGAUAAAGACAGAAGAUGGAGCUCCUUUCCACUUGGGAUCAGAGUCAGGAAAUAUCUGCCCUAUAUCAGGAAGCCCUAAAGCUCCCAGUAUUGCAUCCACAACACAAUGAAGCAGCACAUCUCCUGCAACACGUUAAUCCCCAUAUAGUUAGCAUCAAAAGCAAAUUGUGGAUAAUUUAAACAGAUAAUACAACCAAGAGAUACAGAUUCGGAGAAAACAUAUACGGGGUUUAAAAAAAAGAACUUUGAUAAAUUAAAACUAUCCAAAUACAAGAAACUAAAAGAUAUAAAAAAUGGAUAUUAAAGUUGGGAAAAACAAAAAUAAAGCAAAAUUGGACGAUUGGAAUGUGAACAUACCAUCCGAAUGAGCCUCGCAGCCUCUAUCAUGAGGAAUAUCAAUCCCACCAAUGAUCAAAGGGUAGCCAGGCUCCAAACGAUGAAGGUCGAAGCCAUGGCCCACUCUAAACGGCAAAGACUUGGAAGGUUUCGUGGAGGUGGUGGGUCCAUCGACUGCAACCGAAGUAGCACCCGGUGAAAUUGAAGCUGUAAGAGUAAAAGCUGAAGAAGAUGAUGAUGCUGAUUGUAGGAUGUUAUUAUGAUGCCUGGCGGUUAUGAUACGAGGAUUAGGCAACAAAAUGGACUUGUUGGAGAUCGUAGUGGGGGUGGGUUUUGCUGGAAUUGGAGAACAACUGUAAAAGUGAGUGGCCAUAGCUGUUGAAAUCUUUGCCUUGGCAGAGAAAAGGCUCUGUUUCUUUGUGGAGUAGUUUCAGUUUCUUUGUUGACUCUGUUUUCGUGGGUUCCCUUCGUUUUUCCUUUUCCUUUUUUUUUUUUCUCUUUUUUGGUAUUUGUGGCAAUAAUUUGUUUCCUUUUUUUUUCCUUAAUUUUUAUUUUAAAGGUAGGUAUUUAAUUGCAGGAACCAAAUAAUAUCAUUCGUUGUCUACUUUCCAUUUGUCAACCGCUGGGUGCAACUCCGGUGAAUGGCCCAUUUCCAAUGUGUUUACCGAAAUUCAUUCAAGUGCAAACACAGCCACUGCAAUAUAUGAUUUUGUCCCACAUUCUCAAGUAAUUGUUAGGAAACGUUUUUUCAUCAGGAUAUUGCGUGUGGGCAAAUUGGUGCCAAACUCAAGACUUUGAGAGGCCUAAUGUUGCCAAAUUUGGGAGACCCUAGACAGAAAACGACCCUUAACUCCGUGAAACAUGAAUGGUCAUCAGAUCUUUAAGUCUUAAACCUCAUGGAAUAUUCUGUUAAGAAGUGAUGCAACACACUACCGUACCUCUACCUGUUGUUUUGAAUCUCAGUUGAUUCCCAAACUACUCUUAUCUUCUGUAACCCCACAGGGAAAACCUUCAAUUUAUGUAAUUGAAACAGGCAUAAACUAACUUCAUAAGCAACAGGAGCAUGGAUAUUAUAUUAAAAUAUGCAGCUCCUUGAGCCCAAGCAAUAUCUUCAAACCUGUAAUUACUUAGAGAUGCAACUGUGCACAUCAUAUAAAAUGAGCAUACAUGGAUUUAGCUUUUCAGCAAUUUAGCCACGCCACAUGGAAUGAAAUACCAAACGGAACAUGUAAAACUAAACAGAACACUCCUUGUUAUUGGGAUAACCCAGCUAUAAGUUUGAUUUCUACACACAAAAUGUACAUGUGUGGUGUCCCGUUUUACAACAACUGCCGCACAGUUUCUACAACACAUUUAUAUGAGAAUAUACAUUUACAUGAGCAUCAAAGAAACCCAAGAAAAUCUCAUCACGACUAUGAGGUAGAAGCCCUAGGUUGCUUGCAUCCAUGCUCUGGUAUUAGAUGUUCAGUGGCUGCUCUCUUUGGUCUCAACUGCAAUGAGAAAAGCAAAAAGAAACUAAAUGAACCCAGACACCCACUCUCAAGGUGCAUGCAUGUGUCCUUGAAUUUGUAACAGUGACUGAAAUUAUUUGAAUGCGGUGUUAUAACAUGAAAAAUCAUAAACAAGUUACUAACCUUCUCCUCAGCACGCUGAUAGAAAUUUCUUAUAAGUAUAUUUUUGGCCUCAGUAGUUAUAACUGUUGAAAGUGUUUGAGAGGUCAGUUACACAAAAAGAAAAUGUUCACAGGUCAAUUAAAAAAAUAAGGAUAAGAAAUCAAGAAUUUAAGCCAAUGAGCUGUGGCACUGCACCAGAAUGCAAUCUCAUUUAGUAGUGCCUUUGUGUUUGUAGCACAGGCAAUUUAGAACACGCAUACAACUUAACAAUUUCAUUCCAAUUGAUAAACUUCAAACAGCAAUUUCAAUCAAGUACGCAAUCAAUCACUGGUUUCCAAUUAGAAAUCUCCAUUCUUCGUCGAUAUCAAAAUGAAACUGAGAGAAGAUGAACAAUUCCAGAUGAGUACUCUACGACAUUUAGAUUACUGCAGAAGGAAACAAAGAACUAAAGAAACAAGGUAAAGCAAUUCCACCAUUUCAGAGACAGAUGACAAAAAAAAUGUAAGCAAGUAGCAGUGGCAGCAAGCAUAGAGUGCCAUGUAAAAAUCAAGUUCUCAGUCCAAUACCAAUUAUUUGAAGCCCAUUUGUCAAGGCAAUACCAUUUUUACAGAAAAAUGACAUCAUAUCCAGUUCCAAUUCAGACAUCUCCACAUAAUUUCCAGCACUUGCUGCUCUCAAACAGAAGUCAACAUUCAACAUCCUAGAAGGUACCUAGCCAAAUAAUUAUCACAGUAUAUGACAUGAAUUUUUAAAAUAUAUUAUCACCAUGUAGACAAAGUCUGAAAGAAUCAGCCAACCAAAGGUUAUCAUGUUACCAUUGCAGACAGUUUAUAAGGCCAAUAAUAUCUUAUAUUUCCUCGGGAAUAUUGUUUCACAAGUAAAAACAAGGAGAAAAAUAUCAGUUCAAUACCUUGGUCAGGUGGUGGAAGAGUCCGGCUAUGAGUAGGGCGGUAGGUGGCAGGUGUCAUUUUCUAGCCAAAAAGAGAAGAUUAAGUACAAAAGUUAAAGUGCAAUCAAUUCUUAACAUGACUGAAAAGUAAGGAGAAGCAUUUUAUGCUCCUAAAAUAUUCAAGCAAAGUAACAAACCAUACAAGUAAGUGUAAUUUUGUUAAAAGACCAACCUAUCAAUCUGAAAGCAAAAAGACAAGUGUAAUUUUGUUAAAAGACCAACCUAUCAAUCUGAAAGCAAAAAGACUAAUUUGUCAUAAAUUCUUCAUUUGAAAACAUAAAGGAGCUCCAUAUGAACUCCAUCCAUUAGCAUAGCAUCUCACAUGCUAAAAUAGCUAAAAAGGAUAGAAAGUCUGGUGAAAAAUGUUCUAUACCCUUUGGACAUUUCAACAACUCUUACUUAAUCGGAAACCUUAUAACAGUUAGGCAGGGAACCACUAUAAACUAUUGAAACAAAAAUAGAUACAUAAAUUCAUAUAAGCCUACAUGUAUGCAUGCUAUGAAAGGAAAUUGAUAUCCUGUAGUGCACCAUGUGCUAGAGGACAGCAAUUCAAAAUUCACCAUGCAGCUUCUUUACCAGGUGAAACCCUGCCUUACUGAACUCUUUUCGGCAAUUUUAUUACCCUAUACAAAUUCAAGAUCUAAACAAAACUAGAAUUAAGUGAGAAUUUCAAGAAAAUGAUCAGGAGGUAGACCAAGUAAAAGAAGAAGAUAAAGGAAAGAAAAAGGGUGAUCUAAUAUCUCUCGUUCCUUUUGGGCUUUCCCUUCACCUUCUCUCUUUUCUCCUGACAUUUCAAUAUUUUCAAGCGACUGCCCAAAUGUCAUCAACACAAUCAUUAUCUCAAUACGAAUCACCAGUAAAACGGUGCCCAAGUUAGAAUGCAAAAGCUCAAUUUCAUGCGUUCUGUCAAUAGCAUGUCCAUGUCAUGGACAGGAUUAAUUUUUUAUCAAGAAAACAGCAAAUUCUCAAACCAAUUCUCUCAAUACCCACAUAGAAACAAACUUUCAACUACCAAGUACACAGGAAGAUCUGAAAUAUAGAACUUCUUGAUCAUUGUUAAGAGCCAGUCUUAAGAACUUAAACUACCAAGUACACAGGAAGAUCUGAAAAGCUUCUAGAGCAUGAACUUAAAAUCUUGGUAGAUUUAGAAGCUGACAGUAGCAUGCAGUGGUCAAAAUCACAAGCUCAUGAAUAGUUACCCUACCAUUUUAAGGAAACUGCCAUUCCCAUACAAGAAAGCAUUUCCACGCUAAUGCUUGUGCUGUAUAAAGAUCUUUGUCAUUUUAGCAAACAGAUAAUAACAAGUCCUAUUUGCAUAACUUAGAUGCUUCACAUGGUAACAUCACCAUAUUACAUUCCAUUCAUUCAAAUUAAUAAACAUACUAGUGUUAAAUGUAUCUUGCAAUGCAAACAACAAAAGCACUAAACGUGUAAUAAUACCGGAGUAGAAAUUCCGAGAAUCAUUUAACCCCUAUAAAUACGAAAGCAAGAUAUUCAUUUGUAACCACAAACGAACUUUAUCCAAAAAGCUUCUGACGACUAACUGAUUAUAUGGACUACAGCAUUUUUUAAGGUCCAAAUUCAGAAAAGCGCUUUGAGAAAAGAAUCCACCAACAUCAUAUCUGGGUAAACCUUGAAACCUAAUCAUAAAAAUCUAACAGUUCUUCACUACUCAUCUAAAACCGCAUGUGGGUUUUAUUGCAGUAUCAGAACAGUUGAAACGAACAACUUAUUCAGAUCAUACCAGAAAAGAAUUCGUAUUUUCAUGUAUUUUUGUUAAUGGGGUUGGGUUUAAAAAGGAUUCUGGGAUACUUACAGAAGGAUUAGAAGGAUCGGAGGGACGAAGUUGGCUGAAGUUAUGGGGGUCAAACGACGGCAGGUCACCGAGCAUAGACCCCAUUGGGGAAAAAGAAUAUGCUGGUUUCUGCACCCAGAAAAUCUCCGGAGAGAGAUUGGGACAAUUGAGAAAAUGGGAGAGAAACCACAACAAUGCCUGCCCCGAUUCUAGACUCAGCCUUUUUCGUACUAGUGCUGGAUGAUUAAUCGGUAAAUUGAUGUUUAUAUAUAUAUAUAUAUGGCAAUAGCUUAAGCAUCCAUCCUAGGCUGUGGCCUGUUUUUGUCUGUCCCACUCCCCCUCCAUUGCCAAAAUAAAAUAGAGUAACAUAGUUUGUGUACAAGUAUACUUUUGUAUGCGUUUAUCUACCCAAUAAAUGAAAAACAAUAUAAUUAGUUAUAAUAAUAUUUACAAUAAGGUAAUUUAUUAGCUUAUCAUGUGAAUGGGAAAUGCCAUACAUGAGGCCACAUCAAAGAAUUAAAAACCGUCUUAAAAUAUAAUCAUUUGACCGAUUUUUUUAUAAAUAUAGCUUUUCAGUGAAUUUUUUUUUGAAGAUUAUUUUCGAAAAUACCUCUCAUACGUAAGGUGUUUUAUGAAAAUAAUUUUUUUUAUAAUUUUAACUACAUUUAGUCAAAAAAAAUUAAUUUUGAAUAAAAUUACCUUUAAUGAAACCAAUCCAUAUGUUUAUAUCUGCAUUUUAAAUCAACUCAUAUCCUUUGAACUUUUAUUGUUAGACCAUUCAUCUUUAAAGUAUUUUUUGUCAAAAAAAAAUUUAAGCAUUUUGAACAUUUUAGAGUAUUUUUUGAUAUAUAAAGAAAAAUCUUUGAGCGUUUUGAACAUUUUUAAGCAUUUUGUAAUAAUUUGUGAUAUAUAAAGAAAAACUUUUGAGCAUUAUUUAUCAAAUAAGCAUAUUCAUUGAUUAUAUUGUUAAAUAGAAUAUAGUGUUUUGUUUGAAGUUGUUGAUUUUGUUAAAUGUAAUUUAAUAAUUUUAGUAGUUUUUAGGCAUUGCGUAAUUAAUUUUUAAGCAUUAUGUGAUUAAUUUUUAAACAUUAUGUUAUUAAUUUUUAUACAUUUAGUGAUUAAUUUUUAGUUAUUACGUGUUGGUUGAUAUAGCAUAUGUGACAGGUUGAUAGACAUUGCAUGACUAGUUAGCAAGGUAUUGUGUAACUAGUUAGUAAGACAUUGCGUGACUAGUUUUUAAAUAUUGUGACUUAGGCAUAAUCUAAAAAUCAAUCACAUAAUAUCUAAAAAUCAUAAACGCAUUAAUUAAGUCACACAAUACCUAAAAACUAGUAUUGUAAUACUUAACAAUCAGUGACACAAAUGCCUAAAAACUAGUAAUGUAAUACUUAAUAACUAAUUAAUUUGUUUGCUCGCAGCUAGGUUUAAGUUACUGAAAUCAUACAGUUUUUUUAUUUACAAAUACGUAUAAUCAAUUUAAAUUUAUCAACUUUAGGGUUUUAUGAAUAAAUCAAUAAGCCAAAUAACCUAAAACACAUACUUUGAUGUCAUAUCUGCUCUUUGAAAUUGUGAGAAAAAUAUCGAUGGUGAGAUAGAUAAUAUUUGAUAAGAGAUAAAUUAUAUUUAAUUUUAAAAUUUUUAUCUAUAUGACUGGAUAGAGAAAAUCGAAAUCAUUUUAAUUUAUUUGAAAUUGUAUAAAGGACAUUAUUGUCAAGUCAUGUCAAAAACUGAUUAAAAAUAGUUAAAAUAAUAAUGAAGGAUAUUUUUUAAUUAGACUUAUGAAGAGAGUUAUUUUUCACAAUUUUUUUUUUUAUAAAUAUGACUUUUCAGUAUCUUAUUAAUACAAGGCAAUGUUAUUCAUUAUUACGCAUUAUUUUGAUAUAAGUAUAUACUAUUCUUAUUUCUUUAAAAAAAAUUGAUUUUAAUAAAGGAGCAUGAGAUAUGCAAUUGUACGGAAUAUUUGUUCUUUCGUUCAGUUGCCAAAUGACUUAAGGAAUAGACAUUCUCUGCAAUUUCUAUACCCAAAAUCACUCAAAAUCAAGAUUAGCUAAUCUCAACUCAUAUGGUAUUUGCUAUUGCAUGAGUGAGCCUCUAAAAUUAAUAAAACAAAAGAGCUCCUUAUAAGUGAAAAUCAAAAUAAAAUUUAAAUAAAAAGUUUAAGUUUUUAAUUAUAUAUUAUAAAUAUUAAUACUUUAAAUUUAAAAAAUAAUUAAAAUAAUUAAUAUUUAAUCAUAAUAAUAUUUAAAUUAUAAUAUAAAAUAUUAAUGAUUGCAUUAUAAAUAAUAUUUUGAUAUUUUAAUAUUUUAAUUAUCAAUUAUUAAUAUUUUAAACAAAUUAUAAAUUAUUAAUAUUUAAAAAAUAAAAAAAAAAUAGAUAAUCAUGUAUUAUAAUAAAAAAUAUUUUUAUCUUUUUAUCACUUAUUCUUUUAUUAUUUCAAAAUUAUUCUUAUCAACCAAACAUUUUAAUAAGUCAUAAUAGCAAUUAUUCCAUUCCAUCAAUCAAACUAUAUAACAACAUUUUCAUUUUAUUUCUACUUCAAUAUAAAUAAUUGGUGCAAAAGUACAAAGGAAAUAAUGCUUUUCAAAGUUUAAAAAUAUUCAAUUUUUAUUUUUGAAUAUUAGUAUAGUGUGGUAUAUAAAGUUCAAGAAAAUAAAUUCGAUUCUCUUAUUUGGUUAGCAUUUGUUACUUAUCAAACCUUAUAUUCAAUAAUUGGUCAUGAUGAUUUUGGUAAUUAUUAAACCAUUCAAAGUGGAGUGAUAAAUUUGAAUUUUAUAAAGUUCAAAUUUACUAUUUUAUUUAUGAUAAUAGAUCAAAAUUUUCACUUACUUUGGAUAAUUAUAAUUUUUCAGAAAAAAAUGAAAGAGUACGUUUAUGGCAUAAUAAAAUGUGGGAAUAAAAUUUCCAUAAUAUUACUUAAUAAAAUUUGAAAUACUGUUAUAAGAAGCCUCGUAUGAAUAAAAUAUUACAAAAAUCAUAUUCAUAAAAAAUUAACUAUUUGAUUCACGAUACACAUAAUGUGACAAUAACUAAUCAUUCAUUCUUUAAAAGAUUUUUAAUAGUCAAAAUCAAAUAUAAAUUAACAUUUUAUUCAUCUACUUUAAUUUGAAUGACUUAUUCAAUGAUUUUAUUAUCCAUAAUUAAAAUUACCUUACAAUAUCUUUCAUUCUAUAUCAUUAACAAAUCUCAAUAAACAUUUAAUAAUUUUACUCGAUAUGUAAAAACAGUUUCCAAAUUUAACCAAGAAAUCGCAUUUUCAAUUCUCAAGGUAAUUACAAUAAACUCCUCCCGCAAUGGAUUGAUUGCGUGAAGUUUAAUGAGCUUCGUCAAUGUUGAGCAUCACUCAAUCUUGAGGCGGCGGCGGUGCACUUCGGGACACCACAAAUGUUGGUGUCCAUAGAGAGUACUCAGUUUUUAUGACGUUCAAGAUUCUUUGAAUAAGGAUUUAUUGACACCAGCAUCCGCAGGAACAAAACACAACCAAAAAUGAAUAAUAUUCUCGAGAUAUUUUUUAAUUAGAAAGAUAUUUGAGGAAGUAAGUACGUAACGAUGAUUAUAUAAAAAAUUAGUUUAUUUUCUUAUAAAAUAUGAUUUUAUUAAUUUUUGAUAUUUUUUACUUAAAUUAUAACAUUUAAUGAUAAAAUUACAUCCAUUCAAAAAUAAUCAAUGAAUUUGAUUUAUCACUUAAAAUAAAGUGGUAAAUUAAACCUUAUCCCUAUUUUUAUUUUUGGUACAUCAAAUGGUGCACAGAUACUCAUAAUAUUUAUUCUUCUUUCAAUGUACAAAUUUUACUAUUGGUUCUAAAUUAGAAAAAAAAAAAAUCGUUAAUGACACUGUAAAAUUUCAAAGUGAUUUUAAGUUAUUUGAUAAUGAAAUCCAUCAUUCUAAGUAAGUUAUUUAUUUAUUUCAUUAGUUUUCAACAAAGUUUCAUUAAGUUAUUAACCUCAACACUGUUUUUUCAUUAUUAGUACAAUAAGUGGUAAAUUAUCUUUCAUUGUCAUUGACAUUCUUAUCUAUCAAGAAGCAUCAUUAAUUUUUGUAACAUUAUCAAAUUCAUAAAAAAUAAAAUUAAAAAUUAGUGCAUGAGAAAAGAAUAAGAAAAAAUGAUUUCUUUUUAAAAAAAUUACCAUUUCAAAAAUAAUUUACCUAUAGCUUUACUGAAAGUGUUUAUUGAUCAAAUUAAACUUAAUUGGUGCUUUUAAAAUCUAAGCUCGAGCUUCACUUGAUUUGAUCUGUACAUUCAAUCGUUUUGUUAUUUAAAAUUUUAUAUUAAUAUUUUAAAAUCGAUUUUUAAAUUAAAAUUAAAUAAUUAUAUAAUAUUCUUAAAGGUUGAGCAGAAUUGGGCUUGAAAAAUGCUGUCCAGAACCCGACCCACAGACAAAUCCAGUGUCCCACAGCAAGUGCUGAAGAAACGACGUCGUCCCUUAAUCCUGUGGGCGCUAGGUAAAAUACCAACCGUUGGGCAGCAAAUGCCAAAGGGGAACCAGAAUAAGCACUUACAACCAUCAUAUCAGCCACGCAUCAAAACUGAUUAAAAGGGACCCACAUCAAACGUACAACCCAUUCUCCAAACGUACAGCCCUAUUCACAUCUUAAUUAAAGAUUACCGCUAGAUCACCGCGCGUCCACCGAACUCCAAAAGUCAUCGAAGCACCGCAUAGCCCCUCGCUUUCCACUUAGGUUUUUCUUAGAACUCCUCUAACACCUUUUCCUUUCUACUUCUCAACCUUCCAAAGCACGGCUCAGUGUCGUCGGCGGCGGCGUAGCAGAGAGGAAGAAAAAGAAGAAGCAAACAUGGCUGCACCCGAAGCUCCUCUCUGCUACGUCGGAAUCGCUCGCCAAUCUGCGGCUUUUCGCCUCAUGAAGCAAAUGGUACGUGUUCAUAGAUAUGUAUGUCCGUGUGUAUAUUUGUAUCUAUACGCGUAUUUUGUAAUUCGUAAUUUUUGUUGUUUGGAUGGCACGGUUAGGGAUGGGAAGAAGGAGAAGGGCUUGGCAAAGAUAAGCAAGGGAUCAAAGGUUACGUCAGAGUUAAAAACAAACAAGACACUACUGGUACGUUUCUCUUUGCCUUUUCUUUUGCUUAGGUUUUUUGAUCUGUUUAGUGUAUAUAGAUAUUGAAUUACUUUCUGGAGAAUGAGAGUAGGAGGAAAUGAUGAAAAGUAUUGUACAAAUGGAUUUUUAUUUUUGAAAAAUAUGGAGCAGGUGUUGGAUUGGAUAAGCCGAAUCCGUGGGCCUUUGAUACAGCUCAAUUUGAUAGUAUUCUCAAAAGAUUGAAAGUGGUGCGUAUUUCAUUCUUAAUUUUGCUGACUUUGAUUGGCUAGACAGUGUUCGAUUUGAUGUGAAGCUCAUCCUUUUUUGGUUUUCCUCUUUUCUCUUUUGGAUUUUUAGCAGCAAGCUGCGCCAGCCAAUGAUGAAGGUAUGAUUGAUGCCAAAGAGAAAUUCUUCUCAUAUUGCGUAUACUAGUAGAUUAUUGAUUGACAAGUAACUUGAAUUUACUCUUAAAAGCAUGAAAAAUUGCAUUGUGUUACCAUUAUUCUACUUUGUGACUGAAGUUUCUCAAAGUUUUGUUGCUAAUACUUCAAAAAAAAAGUAACCUGAAUUUACUUAGCAGUUGACAAGAAUGAAAAUCAAGUAGAAACCAAGACCAAUGUGUCUAAUGAUGCUGAAGAACAAGUUGUCAAGACUACCCGACCACAGGGAAGGUUGGUGCAUUUAUUUCAUGUGUGCUUGUAAUUGCAUUUUUAGUGAUAGGAGAUUAUUGCCAAUUAUUAAGUUAAUAUUGGAUUUCAUUUGUUCUUGUUUUUACUCUGUUUGGUUCCUUAGAUAUAAGAAAAGAGAGAGAGGGAAGCUUGUUCAUGCAUAUUCUUCAAAGGAUCUUGAAGGAAUACUUGUAAGUUCUAAAACUUCAGUAUGUCUUAUCACCUUUGUUUUCUUCAAAGUUAUUUAGACUGUUAAAAGUACUUGUUUGACACUGUGAUAAUGAUUUCCUUUUUAUUCAUAUUUCAGUAUGUGAUGUUUGUUGGCCCCUAGUGUCCCUUUCAAGAUACAAAAUAAUUCUAUAUAACAUCAGAUCAGACUGUAAAAUGAUCUGUGUUUGGUUCCAAAUUAUUCAAAUUUAAUGUGUUAAUAUGAUCCAAUUUACUAUCAACAAGAUUUUCAUGGUGUAGAAAACCAUGAGAGCUCAAGGAAAAAGCAAUUCUGUAAUAUCUGCGUCUUCUUGUGUGUGGUAAAAAGUUUAAAUGGCACUUUAAUUGUAGAUGCUUGUUCGAUUUUCUCAUUGUUUCAUAUUAGCAUUAGGGUGAUGUGGUGUUACCUUCACCCUUGUCUGAACUUUUGGAACAAAUUCCAGAUGUCUCUACUUGAGUUGGAAAGGUGGACAGACAAAGCAACUUUGAGAUUUGAGUUAGAAAGGCGGAAAAUGAAAUCAAUUUUGAAACAUGAUUCAAUAAUAAAAUAGUUUGUAUAUUUUGGUUAAAUGCUAAAUGAUCUUAGAACUCCAUAAGGAAAUUGCAAUAGUCAUUACAAAAUAGUUUCUAUGUUUUGUUUGAUAGAAUUGUCUAGUCCUCUAUUUGAAAAAUCUUUUGCCGUUGUUAUUGCUAUUAGCAUUUGAUUUCAUGCAUCCUUUACAUUUAGAAUUUUUGGUUUAAUCAAUCAAUGUAUGUUUACCUGUGCAUGCUUUGCAAUAGGUCAAAAAGGUUGAGGAGUCACCACAGGCUAAUCCUGAUGUGGGUGGAGAAAUGGAAUUGAUAGAGACAACUGAAAGUCAGGAUCCUCCUACUGAAGGUAAUACUCGGUGUAGAUUCUUGUAGCAAGGUGUUUUUUCCAUUGCAUUUUGUUCUGGAAUUUUUAUGUAGAGUUGUUAUCAGGCUGUUAUGUUGAAGAUGGAUAGUCAGACUAGAAAUAAAUUUGGAUUUCUUUUUUCCUCAGAGUAUAUUUAUGAUAUACCUGAAGACCUGUUGUAGUCUUUUGCUGGCGAAUGAUAUUCUUGGCCUAUUUCUGUAACGUGCUUGCUUUUUGCUGGUUGCAGCUGUUGGUUGUUUCUGAGAUAACUUGGUUCUUUGUCACAGGACAUAAAGCUGAAAGUGUUUCUCCAGAAUGGUGGGGCCAUAAAUAUGGAUUUGUCUCUGGAGGCUUUCUGGGAGAAUGUACCAGAAAGAAAGCAAUCAAAACUGGAGAGUCUAAAAAUUCAACUGAGAGAACUGUAUUUUUUGAAGAUGACCAAGAGAAUCUCUACAAGCUUGUGCAAGUAUGUGUCUUCACCAUUUCAAAAUUUGUUGCAUGAAAACUGUGGUAAAGUUAUUUGUUUAAUGAAGAGAAUAAUUAUAAUUUUCCUUUUAAGUUAACCUGUAAUCUGAAGAUGAAACAAUAACAACUCUCGUGAAUUAGUGGCAUUUUGAUUGAUGAUUCCGCAUGCUGUUAUUGUAAGUGAAUGUAGUAGUAUGGUGGGACUAUUGAGAUUAUAUUAAAGGAGCAAGACAGUGCUGGUUUAGGUAAGUAAUAUAUGCCUUUUAUUCCAAAAAAUUUUAGGAUAAAGCCACAACUGGAAAGCAAGGUCUGGGGAUUAAAGAUCGACCAAAGAAAAUUGCUGGAGUUCGCUUUCAGGGGAAAAAGACGUCAUUUAGUGAUAGCGAUGAUGAGGAUUCCGAUGAUGUUGGUCCCCUAGCAAAACGAAUGUGUGAUAAUGCACAAGAAAUGGAGAAAGCUGAUGAACCAAAAUUGAAGUUGAAAAAGCUGUGUAAACAGCUUCUUCGUCAGGUAAUUGAUUUAAAAUGCAAGCUGUAUUAAAUUGUGCUGCAACUCUUUCUCUAAUUAAUAGCAAUCUGCCUAUUUCAGGUACCUGGAGAGUCAUUAAAACUAAAACAGCUGAAAGUUCUUAUUGAUGAACGGUCAUCCUCAGUUUUUUCCAACUUUUCUUCAAAGAAAGAUGCCCUUGCCUACUUGAAACGAAAGGUGUUCUACUUUCUGGUUUUGUUAAUGCUUGUCCAAGUUGCUUUUCUUUAUGCUAGAAGAUAUCAGCUUCUUCCCUUCAUUUCUUUGUGAUUUUGUAAUGGAUUCUGAACUCUGGCAUUUCUUGUUUUUGGCCACAGCUUGCAGGCAGUAGUAAGUUUUCCAUGGAGGGAAAGCGAGUGAGUCUAACAUCAACAAGCAGUUAAAUUUUGAUACAAUUCUGAGAUAUACCUGUACCGGCCUGUAUAUGCUAAGACUUGAAUUAGUAGCAUAUUUAUAUAAGUCUUGGUUCACGUCUCUUUUGUAAUAGUAAUUAUUAAUUUCUUUUUUUUUUUCCGAUAUUUAUGCUUCAUUUGUAUUAUUUUAUCAGCAUGAAAUUCAUUGCUGAUAUGAAACUUGUCUGAAGGACAAGAGUUGCAGGCUGGCAAUGCUGAAAUUUAUCCUUCAAGGAGUAUUCAUUAUUCAAGAAAAAUUUUCAUAAAAUUGGCUGAGGUAUGGGAUGUUUGUACCCUAUAUCUCACCUUACAUGCGCCUUUUUGUCUUCAAUGGAGAAAGAAACAAAAGAAUUGUUCUGUUCUCGUUAAUCUGCGUUUACUUGGCCAAAUUGUCGACGUUAAACUGCUAGUAUGAUUAAAUAUUGGGGGACAACGAUCCAUGAGAGGCCCCUGAUGCUUUUAAGGACUAGCUUUGCCAUAGCUGUGUUCUCUUCGAGCCGUUUAUAUUUUGUAACCCUGCUAGCUCUACUACCCCACCAUACUUCCGUUGUAGUUAAAUCUUUCCUGUUUUUAUCAAUGGCGUAGUUCUGAUGCAUGAUUCUCUGUCGGACGAUGCUGAUUAUUGAAGUAUUGUUAGAUGUAACUGGCUUGGACAAUUUUCUUUGCUAUAAACUUCCCCAGAUAAUCAUAUCCAUGAAAGUAUAGAGCUUCGAUCUCCGCUCUCUUACCACUCUGCAUCAUCAAUGCCAACUCUUCCCUGUAAUUCUCCUGUUGAACACCAUUUAAAGACUAUUAAAACCAUAUGGAGAGAGUAGUUUUUACGUUUAUCUUACCAGAGAUGCACCUGCAAGAUUACUGAGGAAAUCAAGCCUUUAGCGAUUUGCAGGUCCCGUGGCUUUAGUGGAGCUAAAGAUUGUUCAGGUAUCAGUUGUAGAUCAUCGCCUCGCAGUCCCAGCCACUUCACGUUGCAAGCUGAAUGAUGCAGACAUAGAAAAUAAUUUCAUUUUACAUGUUAAACACAAAGAAAACUGGUGCAAUUCGGCGUGACUUGAAGAAAGUACCAUAUCUGUAUGCCUCUAGACCCAUCCCUAUGCUUCCAAACUUGUAGGUACAUAAUAUAGCUAAUCCGGCCGGAUUCCUAGAAAGGUUCAAGUUUGAAGUUUAUCAGUUUCAAGGGUGCACAGCUACUUGCUAUAAUCAAGUUGAAGAAUCCAAAAUGGCUUUAUGGUAUACCCCUAUUUGCUAUAAUCAAGGGUGCACAGCUAUUUGUGCUUAUUUUGCAAAGGUAUACCCCUGGUCUUUGUAAGGGGCAUAGCCUUGCAAAAUGGCUAUGUGGUGGGGAGCUCAGGCCCACCUUGUUUCUAUCUAUAAUAUUGAAAUUUCAAAAACAAAAGUUGAAGAAUCCAAAACAGUCAUCUCAAACAAAAGAAAGUUGUAUGGAACCGGUUUACUGUCUUUUAAUUGUAUUACUUGGGAAAAAAGAAGUCCACGGUAUUUGCAGGAGAUCCAUACCAGUCAACCAGUGCUAAAAUUGGCAAAUCUGGAAAAGCCCUACUCAUUCGGUGAAGAAGAAAUCUAACAGGCAUUCAAGGUUGUGAUUACAAUGAAGCAUCAAAAUGACAACAGCGUUAAGUAGAAAAUGGUUAAAGCAAAUUCAUGAAACUGUUGAGUUUAAACAGUAUCAAUACCUUGUGGCUAUAUCUGGAUAACCUUUUGCUGUGAGAAGAAUGCUUGGAAUCUGGUUAAAUACAUGAUCUUCUGCCAAUCUCUGAAAUACUGCAUGCUGCAAAACAGACCAUGCAAGAAUGUUUAUUAAUUGGAUUUGGGAAUAGUAAAUUCAUAGUGAUGUCUGAUUGGAUUUCAAUGAAGAAAGCACCUUCUCAACCACAAUAAUAUAGCGGGCAUCUGUCUUCAUAAUCAAGCUGUCUAACAAUUUCAGAUCACCAGAAAUUGCAUAUCCGGAAGACCCACAAGCAGAACAAUCCACAACCUCUUGGUUUGGCUCCUGUCAUAUGGUCCAUAAGAGAAAAAAACAAGGAAUCACCCAUAUUUGCAUAUACAUUGUUACAUUAGAAAACAAAAGAAGCAAGUGGCCAGUAUAUUCUUUUCCCGCACAAGAUUAUGAUAUUUGCAAUGCAAUAAUACAUAACGGGAAAGAGAAUUGAAAUGCCUGAAACAAGAUACGCCCAGCAACAAGUCCUUUGCUAGAUGCCAUGAUUCCAAGACUGUUUCGGCUGCAUCGAAGCAAUGCUACAACAUCUGUGACACAAAGUUCUCAAUUAUUUCAACCAUUAACAUGACAUUAAAAAACCCUUACAUCCAACACGAAAAUCUUCUAAAAUCAUCAGAAUCAAUUAUAAACAAGUGAGAACUCAGAGAAUUGACCUUGGAUUGUCCUGUUGACCUGCAAUUGAGAUGAGAAGUAAUCUGGUGAAUCACAGAGCAGCUUGUAAAAGAGCUCCCUCUGUGUAACUAUCUUCUCUUCAAUCAGAAUUUCAAAGCACAUCUCCAUAACCUUCCACACUUCAUUUUUAGUAGGAAUAAAGAUCGAGAACCAAUUUAAUUUAAGAACAAAGGCAAAAAAAUGGGUAAAAAUUAAAUCCAUUACAAACGAAAAUACCCCUAAUAAAGGCCUUAGCUGCGUUGGCUCUCAUCAAUGAUCUUUGACAAAAGGAGUGGGACAGAAAAAGCCAAGAAACCUCGGUGAAGAGCCCUUCACGCACUCUGCUAUUACUGGACUUCCUAUUGAUCUAUAUCAGUAAUUGAAAAAAGAAGAAGAAGAAAGCAACUCAAAAAAUAUUUCCUCAAUUUUCUGAGCAAUCAAACAAAAAAAAAUGUUUCGUUACUAGAGGGAGAUUGGAGAUUGCGGGAUCAGGAGACUUCAAGAUCUUGAGGAAAUUGAGGACGGCUACUUGGAUUCUGGCUCGAACCUGAAAGAGAGAUUUAGAUGUUUUGAGACAAACGGAAGAGGAUCAAACAAUGACUGAUGGAUAAUGAUGAAGACGAUUACCUCGUGAGGAGGGAGGACGUCGGCGUAGCAGAGCUGUUGAUCGGAGAAGAAUUUCAUCGAAGAUUUGCGGAGAUCGUCCAUUGUUUCGUUGGUUCUGAGGAAGUGGCGCGAAAUGAGAUUGAAGUUUUGAAUUGCGGUGAGCUAUGCUUUACCCGUCUGCAUAAGAUCGGGCUCGAUGGGCUUCCAUUCUUGUCCUUUUUGAGCCACAAAGGCUUCAUAUAUUAGCAUUCAGGGUUUAUUCCCUUUGGGCUGACGGGGUUAACUGGGCUUCGUCCUCACCAUCGCCUUUAAAUCAAAUAUUUUUUUGUUUAAAAUAAAAAGUUCUUGAAUUAUUUUUAAAAAAUUUAAAUAAUUUUUUAUUUUUUUAUAAUAUUAAAUUAAGUCUAUAUAUUUUUAUUUUAGAUAAAUGAAUUUUUAUUACUAGUAGUUGAUCUAAUCCAAAUGCUACAUAUCAUUUCAUAUCGCUCGACGUUAAUUAAAAAAAUAAAAAUAUCACAUGAGUAUAUUAUCAUAUCAUAUUAUUUUUUAUUAUAACAUAUUAACAUAUCAUAUGUUAUAAAAUAAUAAGUAAUAUUUUGAUAAUUUAACUAUUAAUUAUAAAAGUUUAUUUAGUUUAAUAUAAAAAUAUAAAAACUUAUUUAACUUUGAAUAAAAGUACAAAAAUUCUAUCAAAUGUACAUAAUAAUAAUAAAAAAAACUUAUUUAAAUUUUUUAAAAUAUUAUAUCCUAAAAACUAUUACUACUAGUAUUAUUGAAAAUAACAGCAUUAUGUUGCGAUACAUAUAAGUUUGUUCGGAUUCAUUAAAUGCCACCAGACAGAAAAAUAAUUUCCCAAUUAGGAAUUUAUAUUUUAACGAGCACUUGAUGCGUGCAGCGUGGGCCGGAACAGGGGGAGAAGAACUGCAAAUGUGUUGAAAAUUUGGUCAAAGUCUCAGUUGCUGAAAGAGUCAAAUAUAUACGUCAUUACAGAAAAAAGAAACCAAGACAAGGGGUUACUAUUUUCAAAAAUUAUCGCAAUUGUUUAUUACGUUAUUUCCUUUCAAACGUCGGUUGGCAACUUGAUUUAUGUCCUUUUUUGUUUCUCUCAAACUGGGCCGGUGACAGGGAAAAAAAAUCUAAGUCAAUUAUUUUUAUAUUAUAUACCUAGUUGUCGUAGCAGAAGGAAUAUAGCCAGCAGGAAAUGUUGAACGAAACCAGACCAAGACUUUGAGAAAUCUGGUUUCCUGGAUUUCAGUUAGUUUUUUCCCAAUUGCAAGAAAUUUCCCCUUCCUUUCCGCGUGCUGCAGCACUCCAAGACCAAAUCAAAGAGCUUUCGAUAUGUUUCGCUUUUUUCAAACGUUUCUAGCUUGUAGCUUCCUAUAUGGUCACUAGGAAAAUGAUGUAGGAUGGCCAAAUGGGAGGAUGAAGUUAUUGACAAAAGUGACCAAGAAAAUAUUCUCAUGGGUACUAGUAGUAGUAGUAGUAGCAGUGGCCGUCUUUUGUGGUCCAAAAUGCUCCAUUUCUUUCGAGUUUUCCCUCAGUCAACGUAAUGAUAUGUUUCUCUUUUUUUUUUUGGGUCUUCUUCAAUAGAUAUCAUAGCCCAAGACCCAUAAGCCAUACCCUCAACCUGCUGGGCUCAAGCCUAUGCGCAUGAUCUUUUGCAGGAUGCAAACGGAGUAUUGAUGACAGAACUGUCUUGCUUUUUGCAAGUUGCAGACCGCUACUGGUCAUAUAUUUCCAUAGUUUCUUCCUUGACUUUGAGUUUUUUCCGUGUUUGGUCCCAGUUUUGAAUCCUUUAGCAAUUGUUUAGUCGAUCAAAGAACUGGCAGGAUAAGCCGAUGAACCCUAAACAGGACCUCCAUGGAAUGAGAGAUGUUACCCUUAAAAGUUCAAAGACAAACCUAUGGUUUCAUAUGCAUAUGAGAAUAGGGACCAACCUUGCCCUAUAUGCAAACUGGCAAUAUAUGGGGUAUGUGAUAUAGCCAUGCUCUAUUGCUUUCUAUCAAAUUCGAGCAUAUUAACUCCUAGAUUUCCAUGGUUGGAUAUCUAUAUAUAUUGCUUUCGUAAUAUUUCUGGAAAAGUAAUUUGCAGCUCAAAUAUGAAAUAUUUCUGCCUAAAAUUUUAUCUUCAACCAUGCAUCUUAUUAUCAGAUAAGCUCAAGUUGCUCGAAAGGAAAGUGACAAGUUUAUCAUGGUUCAUGCUAAGUGCAUUAACAUAAACCAUUUAUAGUACAUUCACAAUUUCCGAAUAGGGUUUUGUCACAGAUGACUGCUUUGGCAGUUAGCAGCGGUAUUUUUGUUGAAAUAACCUUAAUUCCAUAGUAUUUAUUCAGCUCAUCAAUGGAGUGAAAUAGUAUUCAACAGAUCAUUUGAGUUAAAUUCUUUUCUCACCGACGCCAGUAUUACCUAUUGAAGUCGCCGAACGCCAAGAUUGGACAACUAAGCAUUCCAGAAGAGAACAAAACUGUAUGAAAUGCUGAAUAUAUAGAUAUAUACAGGCUGCUUCCACUGUUAUAACGAUUUGACUUUUCAAAAUGUCAACUCAGUGGAAAUGCAAAACCAGACUUACACAAUUGCUGCUUAAUUUCGAGUAAAAACAAUCCCCUCUUUCUUACCAGUAUAUAGACGAAGGACUUGUUUUGAGAUCUUCCUCUCAUCACAAUCCUCCGACAAAUCUCCAAAGUCAGCGCCACUCUUUGCUCCCUUUAUCUCCUAGUUUUCCCUCUUAGAUCUCUCCUUUUUCUUUUUCAUAGAAUAUAAACAAAGAGUUGUUGAUGAGUGAAUUCUACAUGGAGAACUGGGAUUUGCGAGCGGUAGUUGGAGGAAGCAGCAAUGGUGCCUGCAUCCCCGAUAUGGAAAACCCACCAUUCUGUUUUGAUCCUUGGAGUUUUCAACAGGAAGAUCUAAUUAUGAGUUUCCCAGAUGUUUUUGAAACGAACCCUAAAGUUUUAGAUGAGUUGGAGGAACUUUACAAGCCUUUCUAUCCCGAGUUCAAUCCGUUUUCCACACAAACCAUUAUUACCAGUUCCCUCCCAGUCCCUCAAGAUGAGGAGAAACCAGAAAGCCAAAAGAAGCAGCAGCCUGUUUCUCAGUCUGCUGUUUCUGGUACAAAUAAAGAUUCUACUCAAACAGCCAAACCUAAAAGAUCCAGGUUUGUAAACUCAUUGCUUAUGUUUUAAUAGUCAGAAUUUGAUUACUGGAAUUCCAAAAUCCAUUGAUGUUGAAAAAUUCACAUAUUUCAGCCGGAAGAAUCAGCAAAAUAGAGUGGUGAAGCACGUAACUGCUGAUGGUCUUUCGUCAGAUAUAUGGGCUUGGCGAAAAUAUGGACAGAAACCCAUCAAAGGGUCACCAUAUCCAAGGUAAAAACCUCUCUUCGUUAUCAUUUUUUUUCUGGGUAUCAAGCUAGAGAGUUUGAAGGCUUACUUAAUUAUUUUCAUGUCAUUGAAUAAACUUGUUUGCUUGGUUGAAUUGAAAAACAGGAGCUAUUAUAGGUGCAGCAGCUCAAAAGGAUGUUUGGCGAGAAAGCAAGUAGAGCGUAGCUGUUCGGAUCCUCGAAUCUUUAUCAUAACCUACACCGCUGAGCACAGCCAUGGCCAUCCAACUCGCCGAAGCUCGCUUGCAGGAAGCACUCGCAGCAAGUCAUCUUCAACAUCUAAAAGUCUUGUCAACAAUAAUGAACCCCGUGAGGCAGCAGAAACGGUUCUUUCUCCAACAACCAUGAAAGAUGAGUCUGUGCAACAAGAUUGGAGUAUGAAGGUGGAGGAACAAAUGCUUGAAGAUGGUCAUGGGGACAAAAUUCUCACCCCAGACAUAAUGUUGAGUGACGAAUUAGAUCAAAGCUUAGACAACUUUGAAGGUCUCUUUCUAGACCAAUUUCCCGAUUGGUCUCAUGAACUAUGGUCCAUGAAUGAAUCUGCAACCUUAACUGGUGGUUGCUGGACUUAGUCUUUAGCCUCUUAUGUACUUAGCUAGGCCAGGCACAAGCCGUGUAUAAACCGAAAUUGCAGUUCUCCAUCGGUUUUGUUUUAUUUCUUUUUGCUCUUUCAGUCUCUGUAAUCCAUCUUCUUACAAGAAUAUCAUAAUUAUAAACAAGAAAAAUUAUUUAUGUAUACAUAUAUAUAUAUAUAUAAAUCGGUGGAAGUAUAUUGUUGACAAUAAAUAAAUUAAUGGAGUUAAUUACAACGAAAAACCAACCCAAGCAACCAUUUAACUACUUGUAUUUGAACUUGUUGUUUCUAACUUGUAAGGUUUGAUUUAAAUAUCAAUUUUCGUUCUUAUAUUUCAUAAAUUAAUUACCAAUUACGUCUAAAAGUUUAAUUUGCAUUGAUUAAAUCUUUAGUUACCCACAUCAUCAGCUAGACAGCUACUUCAGUAUAAAACGAAAUAAAUAUAUAUCCCUCCACUUUUUUUUUUAUGGUUUAUUAUAUGAAUAUUCAAUAACUAAGUGUUGUUGAAAUAUUAAAUAUUCAGGAACAUAACAUCAAAUAUUUAUAUAUACUUUUUUAUAAUUUCAAUUUGUAAAAUCAAUGACCUUAAAAUAUAUAAUUUUUUUUUUUAAACUUCACACACACAUAUAUAAAUAUAUUAUUUAAUAACCUUAGAUAUACUAUGUUAGUAACUUUCUAUAUAUUAUAUAGUUACCUUUCGAUACUUUAUGAAUAAUUUUAAUAAAUAUUCAAUAACGGUACUAAAUAUCAAGUGAUGUAUAACUUUUUUUUAAUAAUCUCGAUAUGUAAAAAUUAAUAACCUUAAAAUACAUAAUUAUUUUUUUAACUUUCAUCUAUCAAACAUAUUUUUCAAGAACUUUCAUGGAUAUUCGAUAACGUAAAGUUACUAAAAUAUUUAAUUUUUAGGAAUAUUCAGCAACAUAGGGUUACUAAAAUAUCAUCUACUUAGUUAUUAGAACACCAUAUAGGUUUAUAACUUUUCCAAUACCUUUAAUCUUUCAUGAUCUUCAUCUAUUAUUUAGUAAUUACUAUAUUAGAUGUAUUUUGUUGGUAAUUUUCAUAGAUAUUUGGUAACUUCGGUUAUCAAAAAAAUAAAUAUAAAGUGAUUAAACUAUAAAACAGCCUUAUAGUCUUUUUAAUAUGAAACACCUUGAUAUAAAGUGGUUGAUAUAUAGAACCAAAUAUGUGGAAGAUGGUAUAAUCUAGUCAAACAACAGUAAAUGUAUAGUAAAUGUUGAAUGUUAAUAAUCAAUAUUUUAUUUUUAAAUUUUUAAUAAAAACAUUAUAACAAAAAAUAUCAAUAUUUUUUUAAAAAAAUAAUUUUUUUUUUCUAAAAGUUAAUUUUCGGGAAACAAACACAGCUUUUAUUGUCAUUUUAAUACUAUUUAUCCAAUUUAGCUCAAGCCAACUUGCAUUUCUUUGGAAAUUAGGUGCGAAUCCACCUAACUGUAUUGGAAAACGACGGUCAAAUAUAUUAAUACUAAUAUUAGUAGUAAAAAAACUAUUUCUAAACCUCAAGCAUGCUUUUAUUAUGUCAUCCACAGUUUAUAAUUAUAUAUUCUAUGAUCCUAUCAUUGGAAUAGUGGAUAUGAUUGCUUUAUAAUGAAGUUAUAUUCUGCUACUGAGCAACUUUCCGUACAGAAGAAAACUGGAAAAUCUCACUUGCGUGUACAUAUAUGUGAAGUAUUAUACAAUCGUUUAAGAUAAAUUGUUUAAGAUCUUUAAUAAAUGAUGAUAUUCUGGCAUUAUCCAUGCAAGUAGUUUUAUGAUUUGAUUUGUCAGAAUUCAAGUUCUUCAGGCUUUGGCUAUUGAUCAUCAUCGGAUACAUCUGGCUUUGACUCUUCGAUUUGUUGCUUAAGCUUCGGGUUGAACCAGUCAAAAGAGGACCAGAGAGAUGCAGCAUAUAUACUUAAUAAUACUUUUAUCCUUUAUUAAAUAUUUUACAACCAUGUAGAUGGGGUAUAGAUAUUCCCUGGAAGUUUUAAAUUGGAUGCAGUGCUGGUGAAUUACAUAGAGUCAAUCGUACUUAUGGUUCCAUUAAUCUGCAGCAGUUGCAGAGGCUGCUGCUUGCUUUCAUCAAGGAAAGCAGCCACUGCGCCCACAAAAGCUGCAUUAAUGUAAGUUGUGGGUUCGGCAUGAGAGUAAUCUGAUCUUCGGUCAUUGUAAUGGUCAUUUGAAUCAGGACCUCCAACGAUGGCUCCAACAUGUUGAUUUGGAUUUGGACUGUCAGAAGAAUAAUAACUCGAGUAGCCAUCAUUACAGCCCACCUUGCUCGGGCGAAUGUGGAUAGAAGGGAUGGAUGCGCCUCUAUGGUGAAGCUGCAUCGGAUAUUUGCUUCCGAAUCCAACCAUGUAUGACAUAUUCAUGGGGUUGUUUCCCAGGAUGUAAUUCACCUGCAUCAAUAAAUUAAUGAAACCCAUUCUGGGUUUGAUGUUAUUUGUCUUGCAUUAAUUUAGAUCAUAAAUAUACCUGUAAUUUUACAAAUUCUCUGAUUUGGGAAGCAGAGAAAUGGGCAGAGCCACAUUGGAUUCCAUCGAUUUGAGACGCCUUUAAGGUUUUCACGUAGAUAGAUAGCAGCAUGCAGGAGCUUGUAACAUAUUGUAGAUUAGCACUAUCUCUUAUGUACAAAAGCCCACCUGAAAACAAACCAGAAAAUCUGUUAAGCUCUGUGAGAACCAUACCCUUCAAAUGCAUUGUGCAGAAAACUUAGUAAUUUAGUUAUUCAUACCAGAAGUUGUUUUAAUCUGUAAAGAGCUACUCCCUGGCAUCAGGGCACAUAUAAAUGAUUCCACAUCAGUCUUAUAUUUAGACAAAUCCUUCUUCCCACCGUGGAAUUCCUGAACUAAAUUCUGUUAAAAUCUUUAUAAAUAGGAGACAUAGGAUUGUACAGUGUUUUUGUUUUUGCUUUUUUUUUUCACUAUACCUUUGCUAGUAAUGCCUGAGCUCCAGCAAAUUUGUUGUCCCAACUAAACUCUGAUACCUGCUGACUCCAUCCUUGGUUGCUCAAAACAUAGCUAAAGUACUUGUUAUCUGCACUUGCCUUGUAUAGCCAAGCUGCAGACCAUAAUAAUUCGUCCUGACGAAAAUUCGGAAUGGGUAAGCUCAAAUCGAACUAAAGUGAUGACUAACAUACUUAUCAACAUAUCUACCUGAAGCUUAAUGUUUUACCUGAUAUCCUGAGAAAGAGCAGUAGAAAGGGCAAGAAUCUUUGUAAGAUCCCCUAUAAUUGUCUGCAAAUUCGAAUAACUGUGAAGCAAAAUGAAUGAGAUUAAAUGCACAGGAGAGGUUGGUAGGUAUAAAGGAACUAAAUUUAACCAGCCCCUUAACUGAUUUUGAUUUGGUUAACAGCCUUCUAGAAUAAUUGGACUUAACCCCUUUGAAGACUAAUGAAGCAGCAGAAAGGGCAGCAGCAGCCUCUGCUGCUGCUUCAGUGCCUGGUGAAUCAGAAGUGAUCUUGUAGAGCGUUCGAGGGGUGUCCAUGUCUUCAGGACGCUCCCAACACUGGUGAUCAGCAUCUCCGUUCCCCACCUGUAAAUGCAAAUAUAUACCAAUGAUGUUCUAGCAAUAAGCAUCAAAUAGUAAGAGACAAAACUUAUUCUAAUGGUAACCUUACAAUUUCUAUUCCUUUUCUAUUUCGUUCUGGUUAAUAAUCUUUAAUUGAAUUAGACGUACGCAUAUUUGACAAGCAGGGCUGAGUUUGAGUUCUAUGUAAGGUGUCUUUUACUUCUGUUGUAGUAUGCUCUUACAACCAGUGUGGUUUCUGUAUUGACUUGGCUGUAAGAGUCUUGGAUGGCUUUGGCCAGGGCUUGUACCAAACUUUUUAUUAAUAAAAUAACCAGAUUGAAUGAGAAAAAAAAUUGAAAAAAAAAAAGGUAGUACUCUAUGCAAAUACUAUACAAGAACCUGACACAAACCUGGGUAUAAAGUGUGGUGGGUGAAGUGUGGGCUCGCAAAAUAAAAUCACUGCCCCAACGGAUGGCGGAGCGGAGGCGGUUCAGCUGAUUGGCCGAAGAGAUUUCCUGCCGGAACUCAACAGCUGCCCAACUUAACAGGGUGACUGUAAACGCCAUAGGCCAUCCGAACUUUACAUUGUCGCCAGCAUCAUAGUAACCUCCUACUAGAUUGACCUGCAAGAGAAAGCAAAUCCUAAACCAUAAAAAUUAUUUGUCAAGAAUCGGAAUUUAGCAGUCAGUGAUAUAUACCAAGCAUCACUGUUCUAUUGUUUCUCCUGGGAUAACCAAAUCAGCAUGAAGGUGAAAAUAACAGCUAGUUAAAUUUGUUGAAACAUCAACACUAGUCUAGCUCAGUAUAUAACAAUAUAUAUUCCGAAGUUUUUAAUUUGCCAGCCGUACUUUAUCAGGUUCGCCAUCAGUGAGUGCAGAGUCUCCCCUCCACUUCACUCUCUGUCUCGCCGGUAACUUUCCGGAACGUUGUCCUUCAAAGAACAAGACUGCUUUGUGAAGUGCAUCCGUGUAGUCAUAACCUGUGGCAGACAAACCCGAGUCCUCCACGGCUAGUCCAUUGUGACGACUAGCCAUGGCCAAGAUGCUGCCCAAGACCAAACCCCACACUAUUUCACCAGACCUCAUCGUGACUUAUAAUUGCAUGACCGUUGGUUUGGUCUAAUUGGUUAUUUAUAGACCCUUUUCAGUGGUGACCCUGAUGCCCCUCAUUGAAUAGAACGAGUAAUAAUAUUUUUCAUGGCUGUUGGUUAAUUACAAAAGAAAAACAGGGAAGUUUUAGUCAUCAGUUGCUUCUCCUUUUUUUAAAAGGAAAAUUAGAAGAGAUUUUGUUACUGUAAUUCAAUUACAAAAUAUCAAGGAAUAAUCCAACUCCAUUCCCAAAAUUAAUAUUGGUAAAAUUGAAGUUAAUUGGAUCAUAAGAUUGAGGAUGAUGACAUGGAAGAAUGGAGGACUGGAGGUGGCGUGAGGGGAAUAAACUGCAUGUAGUAAAGUCAGUAAGUUGAGUCACAAAACUGUACUAAUUAUGAGAGUAAGAAUAAGAGAUAGUUGCACCCACUCCUCAACGUCAUUUGCUACCAUCAUUCCCUUCUUAUAUAUAUGUAUACAUGGUAAUAUAUAUCCUUCCAAAUGAAAUGUAAUCCAAAGCAUUCAUUUUCUCAUUGCUUCUUAUAUAUAUAUAUGAUGAUGAUGAUGAUGAUGAUGAUGAUGAUGGGCAUGUUGAACACUUUAAUUUUAUUUGUGAAGUUUAAGAAAUAUUUAUUUAUAAAUUUUGUUUUGAAACUAUAUUUAACAUAAUUAGAACACAUGUGAACUUGAUUUUGUUUGUCAGAAAUUGAAGUUAAAAAAAAAGAAAAGAAAAGAUGUUCAAUACAUUAAUCGAACCAAAUGAAAUUUGUAUGGUAAAAUGUAUAAUUAUAAAGUGUAUUUUGAUGGAAAAGAAAGAAAGUUAUCAUAUACAAAAGCUAUGGUUUGCUUUUAACUAUCAAGAGAAGAGUGCCUGGGCUGGAGGGAAACGGCCGGAGAGAAUUAACAUUCUCAAAACAAGGAGCAAGAUUGUGCUUAAUUAAAAUAUGCAAAAGCCAAUUGAACACAAUGAACACAUAUAUGACUUCUUAUUAAUUCAGCAGUCUAUAUGUUAUCAACAAUACAUACAUGAUCUCCUCACCAAAAUUGAUUGUAUUAACCUAAAAUAUAAUAACGCAUUCAAGGGCUACCUGAAUAUACAUGGUCCGACCUCAUCUACCAGACAACAUAGAAUGUAUCCAAUGCAGGACUGCUCAGGUUUUCAAGGAAGAUAUUUCUUGCAGUUGCCUGACUAUAAUGGGAAACUGGCUAUCUCAAGGCCAUGUCUUGUAAGCAGUACUUUACGUUGGCCAAUCCAUUCGAGCCGGUAAGAAAGGUCAAGGUUAUGACUCAAGAGUUUUAAUUUGUCUGUAUAACUCCUAACAGUCUCCUGCAGAAAAGAAUGUGCAAAAGGUGUUAUGGUUUUGAAGGAGCAAUCUUGAAAGCUACCUUCUGCUAUUAUAGUUACAUAUAGAUGCAUCCAGUAAGAAAUUGCAAUGAACCCUAUACAGGUAAAUGGAGUGUGGAGUCUAUCACGAUCAUUUCAGUUCCACCUCCCCCAAAUGCACACCCACCAGCAGAAGAAUUGGAACAUAAAGACAUACCAUGUAAUAAUGAGCAGAAGAGUGUUUAAUUAACCCUAAUACACAAAGGAAUAAUCCCCUUUUCUCAAGAAAUAAUCUUCAGCUUCAUUAAUUGGAAACAUCUUGAAAGAAACAACUCGAGGAGCCCCAAAUAUCACACAAUACUCUUCUUUAGUGUUCAUCAUGAUAGGGUUUUCCUUAUAUCACAUUUCUUUCAUCCUUAUUUUAUUUUUCAUAUUUGUACUUCACAAUAUAUUUCAAAAGCAGAAUUCCGUCUUCACCAGUAUCCAACAG